GUCCUUUUGGAUCGCUAGAGGAUGGUCUUGCGGCGUAUUAGCUUGUUGGUAGGGUAGAAGCCUACCAAGGCAAUGAUGCGUAGCCGAGUUGAGAGACUGGCCGGCCACAUUGGGACUGAGACACUGCCCAAACUCCUACGGGAGGCUGCAGUAGGGAAUUUUCCGCAAUGCACGAAAGUGUGACGGAGCGACGCCGCGUGUGUGAUGAAGGCUUUCGGGUCGUAAAGCACUGUUGUAAGGGAAGAAUAACUGAAUUCAGAGAAAGUUUUCAGCUUGACGGUACCUUACCAGAAAGGGAUGGCUAAAUACGUGCCAGCAGCCGCGGUAAUACGUAUGU
Molecule: ribosomal RNA, 337 nt
Filed under: Oenococcus oeni
Lineage: Bacteria; Bacillati; Bacillota; Bacilli; Lactobacillales; Lactobacillaceae
Description: bacterial SSU rRNA
Rfam family: Bacterial small subunit ribosomal RNA
Source: RNAcentral